AUGGUCCAUCAUAUAUCUGACGAGGCAGCAGAUGAACCUGGCAUCACCACACAGACACCCUCCAAUGACCCAUCUCAAGCACCGCUGGUGUACAAAGUGGGCUAUCCCCCUCCGAAGAACUUGGCCACGGAGUUUACAGAAACAUUGAGAGAGACUUUCUUCCACGACAACCCGCUGCGUCAGUACAAGGGCCAAUCCGGACCGAGGAGGUUCAUGAUGGGGCUGGAGUUCUUGUUUCCAAUAUUUGGGUGGGUCAGGGAUUACAGUCUCAGCAAGUUCAAAGGAGAUCUGAUUGCCGGGUUGACCAUCGCAAGCCUCUGCAUUCCUCAGGACAUUGGCUAUUCGAAGCUUGCUAAUUUGGACCCGCAGUAUGGGCUUUACUCCAGCUUCAUUCCCCCAUUGAUAUAUGCUGCAAUGGGUAGCUCAAGGGAUAUAGCGAUUGGUCCAGUUGCCGUGGUUUCUCUUUUGAUAGGUUCACUUCUACAAGCUGAGGUUGACCAUGUCAAAAACAAGGAGGAAUACAUGCGCCUCGCUUUCACGGCAACCUUCUUCGCUGGUAUCACUCAAGCAGCCUUGGGAUUUCUAAGGUUAGGGUUCCUUAUAGAGUUCUUGUCACAUGCUGCAAUUGUCGGAUUCAUGGGGGGAGCUGCCAUUACUAUUGCCCUGCAGCAGCUAAAAUACGUGUUGGGCAUCGCAAAUUUUACAAGGAAAACCGACAUAGUUUCUGUUAUGGAAUCUGUCUGGAGAUCAGUUCAUCAUGGGUGGAACUGGCAGACAAUUGUGAUUGGUGUAUCUUUCCUGGUUUUCCUUCUGUUUGCGAAGUAUAUCGGAAAGAAGAAUAGGAAGCUUUUCUGGGUGCCAGCUAUUGCUCCUAUAAUAUCAGUGAUUCUAGCAACAUUUUUUGUAUACAUUACUCGUGCCGACAAGCAAGGUGUUCAGAUAGUAAAGCACAUUGAACAGGGAAUCAACCCAUCAUCAGUACACAAGAUUUAUUUCACCGGUCCAUUUGUCGCAAAAGGCUUCAAGAUCGGUGUUGUUUGCGGCAUAGUUGGUUUGACAGAAGCUGUAGCUAUUGGAAGGACAUUUGCUGCUAUGAAGGACUACCAGCUAGAUGGAAACAAGGAGAUGGUAGCACUUGGAACCAUGAACAUAGUAGGAUCAAUGACAUCUUGCUAUGUCACAACAGGUUCUUUCUCACGUUCGGCAGUUAACUUCAUGGCUGGCUGCAAGACUCCUGUAUCCAAUGUGGUUAUGUCAGUGGUGGUUCUUCUUACCUUGUUGGUCAUCACACCGCUAUUCAAAUACACACCAAAUGCAAUCCUAGGGUCGAUCAUUAUUUCUGCGGUGAUCGGCCUUGUGGACUAUGAAGCAGCAAUUCUCAUCUGGAAAGUUGACAAAUUGGACUUCAUUGCUUGCAUGGGAGCAUUUUUCGGUGUUGUUUUUGUAUCCGUUGAGAUUGGCCUCUUGAUUGCUGUAGCAAUCUCAUUUGCCAAGAUACUUCUACAAGUAACAAGGCCAAGGACAGCCCUACUUGGGAACCUUCCCGGCACCACAAUAUACAGGAACAUCAGCCAGUAUCCAGAAGCAAAACUUACUCCCGGGGUGGUGAUUGUGAGGGUUGAUUCUGCUAUUUAUUUUUCCAACUCUAAUUAUGUCCGAGAAAGAAUUCUUAGGUGGCUGACAGACGAAGAAGACAGAGCUAAAGCACUGGGGUUGCCUAAAAUCAGUUCCUUGAUUGUGGAAAUGUCGCCGGUCAUCGACAUCGAUACAAGCGGCAUACAUGCUCUUGAAGAUCUGUACAAGAAUCUUCAGAAAAGAGAUAUGCAGCUCAUUCUGUCAAAUCCUGGUUCCGUCGUCAUAGAAAAAUUGCAAGCAUCGAAGCUCACCGAGCACAUUGGAAGCAGUCAUAUAUUCCUUGCAGUCUCUGACGCCGUGCGAUUCUGUACGACGAAGUCGAUGCAGGAACCGUGA
This 1971-nucleotide ribosomal RNA is filed under the name Triticum aestivum (bread wheat). Its description in RNAcentral is "partial small subunit ribosomal RNA". Lineage: Eukaryota; Viridiplantae; Streptophyta; Magnoliopsida; Poales; Poaceae. The record is from RNAcentral.